UCCAGACUCCUACGGGAGGCAGCAGUGGGGGAUAUUGCACAAUGGGGGGAACCCUGAUGCAGCGACGCCGCGUGGGUGAAGGAGCACCUCGGUGCGUAAAGCCCUAUCGGCAGGGAAGAAACAGACGGUACCUGACUAAGAAGCCCCGGCUAACUACGUGCCAGCAGCCGCGGUAAUACGUAGGGGGCGAGCGUUAUCCGGAUUCACUGGGUGUAAAGGGAGCGUAGACGGCCAUGCAAGCCAGGGGUGAAAGCCCGGGGCCCAACCCCGGGACUGCCCUUGGAACUGCAUGGCUGGAGUGCGGGAGGGGCAGGCGGAAUUCCUGGUGUAGCGGUGAAAUGCGUAGAUAUCAGGAGGAACACCGGUGGCGAAGGCGGCCUGCUGGACUGCGACUGACGUUGAGGCCCGAAAGCGUGGGGAGCAAACAGGAUUAGAUACCCUGGUAAAA
RNAcentral lists this ribosomal RNA (448 nucleotides) under uncultured bacterium. Its description in RNAcentral is "partial 16S ribosomal RNA". It matches the Rfam family "Bacterial small subunit ribosomal RNA", at positions 330 to 793 of the family's 1533-position model. The record is from RNAcentral.